CCUACGGGUGGCAGCAGUGGGGAAUAUUGCACAAUGGGGGAAACCCUGAUGCAGCGACGCCGCGUGAGCGAUGAAGUAUUUCGGUAUGUAAAGCUCUAUCAGCAGGGAAGAAAAUGACGGUACCUGACUAAGAAGCCCCGGCUAACUACGUGCCAGCAGCCGCGGUAAUACGUAGGGGGCAAGCGUUAUCCGGAUUUACUGGGUGUAAAGGGAGCGUAGACGGCUGUACAAGUCUGGAGUGAAAGGCAGGGGCUUAACCCCGGGACUGCUUUGGAAACUGUGCGGCUGGAGUGCAGGAGAGGCAAGUGGAAUUCCUAGUGUAGCGGUGAAAUGCGUAGAUAUUAGGAGGAACACCAGUGGCGAAGGCGGCUUGCUGGACUGUAACUGACGUUGAGGCUCGAAAGCGUGGGGAGCAAACAGGAUUAGAUACCCCAGUAGUC
RNAcentral lists this ribosomal RNA (440 nucleotides) under uncultured bacterium. RNAcentral describes it as "partial 16S ribosomal RNA". It matches the Rfam family "Bacterial small subunit ribosomal RNA", at positions 338 to 795 of the family's 1533-position model. The record is from RNAcentral.